UACGGAGGGUGCAGGCGUUGUCCGGAUUUAUUGGGUUUAAAGGGUGCGUAGGCGGCCCUCUAAGUCAGUGGUGAAAUACUGCAGCUUAACUGUAGCAUUGCCAUUGAUACUGUAGGGCUUGAGUACAGAUGAGGUAGGCGGAAUUGGAUGGUGUAGCGGUGAAAUGCAUAGAUACCAUCAAGAACACCGAUUGCGAAGGCAGCUUAACUAAGCUGUGAACUG
Molecule: ribosomal RNA, 222 nt
Filed under: uncultured bacterium
Lineage: Bacteria
Description: partial 16S ribosomal RNA
Rfam family: Bacterial small subunit ribosomal RNA
Source: RNAcentral